RNAcentral lists this ribosomal RNA (303 nucleotides) under uncultured bacterium. RNAcentral describes it as "partial 16S ribosomal RNA". It matches the Rfam family "Bacterial small subunit ribosomal RNA", at positions 507 to 809 of the family's 1533-position model. The record is from RNAcentral.
AGCAGUAGCCGCGGGAAAACGAAGGGUGCAAGCGUUACUCGGAAUUACUGGGCGUAAAGCGUGCGUAGGUGGUGGUUUAAGUCCGUUGUGAAAGCCCUGGGCUCAACCUGGGAAUUGCAGUGGAUACUGGGUCACUAGAGUGUGGUAGAGGAUAGUGGAAUUUCCGGUGUAGCAGUGAAAUGCGUAGAGAUCGGAAGGAACAUCUGUGGCGAAGGCGACUAUCUGGGCCAACACUGACACUGAGGCACGAAAGCGUGGGGAGCAAACAGGAUUAGAUACCCCUGUAGUCCCUGUCUCUUAUAA